UGGGGGAUAACGUAGCGAAAGUUACGCUAAUACCGCAUACGCACUAAGGUGAAAGUGGGGGAUCUUCGGACCUCAUGCUCAUGGAGUGGCCGAUAUCUGAUUAGCUAGUUGGUGAGGUAAAGGCUCACCAAGGCGACGAUCAGUAGCUGGUUUGAGAGAACGACCAGCCACACUGGAACUGAGACACGGUCCAGACUCCGUACGGGGAGGCAGCAGGUGGGGUAAUUUUGGACAAUGGGGGCAACCCUGAUCCAGCAAUGCCGCGUGAGUGAAGAAGGCCUUCGGGUUGUAAAGCUCUUUUGUCAGGGAAGAAACGGUGAGUUCUAAUAAAGCUUGCUAAUGACGGUACCUGAAGAAUAAGCACCGGCUAACUACGUG
Molecule: ribosomal RNA, 378 nt
Filed under: uncultured bacterium
Lineage: Bacteria
Description: bacterial SSU rRNA
Rfam family: Bacterial small subunit ribosomal RNA
Source: RNAcentral